This 72-nucleotide transfer RNA is filed under the name Rattus norvegicus (Norway rat). It matches the Rfam family "tRNA". From Rfam's summary of the family: Transfer RNA (tRNA) molecules are approximately 80 nucleotides in length. Their secondary structure includes four short double-helical elements and three loops (D, anti-codon, and T loops). Further hydrogen bonds mediate the characteristic L-shaped molecular structure. tRNAs have two regions of fundamental functional importance: the anti-codon, which is responsible for specific mRNA codon recognition, and the 3' end, to which the tRNAs corresponding amino acid is attached (by aminoacyl-tRNA synthetases). tRNAs cope with the degeneracy of the genetic code in two manners: having more than one tRNA (with a specific anti-codon) for a particular amino acid; and 'wobble' base-pairing, i.e. permitting non-standard base-pairing at the 3rd anti-codon position. Lineage: Eukaryota; Metazoa; Chordata; Mammalia; Rodentia; Muridae. The record is from Rfam by way of RNAcentral.
GGGGAUUUAGCUCAGUGGUAGAGCACUUGCCUAGCAAGCACAAGGCCCUGGGUUCGGCGGUCCCCAGCUCCG